AUUGAACGCUGGCGGCAGGCCUAACACAUGCAAGUCGAGCGGAUAAAGGGAGCUUGCUCCUGGAUUCAGCGGCGGACGGGUGAGUAAUGCCUAGGAAUCUGCCUGGUAGUGGGGGAUAACGUACGGAAACGGGCGCUAAUACCGCAUACGUCCUGAGGGAGAAAGUGGGGGCUCUUCGGACCUCACGCUAUCAGAUGAGCCUAGGUCGGAUUAGCUAGUUGGUGGGGUAAAGGCCUACCAAGGCGACGAUCCGUAACUGGUCUGAGAGGAUGAUCAGUCAGACUAGAAGUGAGACACGGUCCAGACUCCUGCGGGAGGCAGCGGUCGGGAAUAUUGGGGGAGGGGGGAAAGCCUGAUCCAGCCAUGCCGGGUGUGUGAAGAAGGUGUUCGGAUUGUAAAGUACUGUAAGUUGGGGGGAAGGGCAGUAAGUUCAUACCUUGCUGUAUUGACGUUACCAACAGAAUAAGCACCGGCUAACUUCGUG
This 484-nucleotide ribosomal RNA is filed under the name uncultured bacterium. RNAcentral describes it as "partial 16S ribosomal RNA". It matches the Rfam family "Bacterial small subunit ribosomal RNA", at positions 30 to 507 of the family's 1533-position model. The record is from RNAcentral.